GGGGGCGCACUGGUUUCGACCGGUUUCGUCUAGCGCGGGGCUGCGCGCCGGGGUUCUCGAGUUCCCCGUCAAUCCGCUCGGGAAACGGCAUUUACUUGCCAACAACUUUGCUCUCGCUGCCUAGUCAAUAGGCAGCCGUUCCUCCGCGGAGCGCCCGCGGCCGCAGAGGAACGCCAACAGCGGGCUGGCCGGCGAGCAACGCGCUCUGGCGGACCGGCGAGAAAUCAGGGAGCGCUGGCCCGAGGGAAGCCCGUCCGUGGGCGUCCGGAGGGCGAGAGCCAAACCGCGGACUACGCGCGUAGACGCCUCGUGCCGAGCGGUUCUGGGACGCGGGUUCGAUUCCCGCCGCCUCCACCA
RNAcentral lists this transfer-messenger RNA (357 nucleotides) under Planctomycetota bacterium. It matches the Rfam family "transfer-messenger RNA". Rfam says of the family: Bacterial tmRNA, also known as 10Sa RNA or SsrA, is named for its dual tRNA and mRNA-like properties. RNAcentral also lists the same sequence under 1 other name. Lineage: Bacteria; Pseudomonadati; Planctomycetota. The record is from RNAcentral.